This 17307-nucleotide long non-coding RNA is filed under the name Panax ginseng (ginseng). RNAcentral's name for it is "long non-coding RNA (PGIN_LNC003044)". Lineage: Eukaryota; Viridiplantae; Streptophyta; Magnoliopsida; Apiales; Araliaceae. The record is from RNAcentral.
GAUCAUCAUAGCUUAAACCUAAAAUAUGCAUUACCCCACCAUCUCCUUCUCUACUUAAGUUUGAAGCAAUAUCUUUCUGCACCAUCUCCCAUUCCCUUAAUGAAUUUUUGUUCUUCAAAAGCCCUCCAAGGGCUGAGAUGGCUAAAGGUAGACCUUGACAUUGUUGAACCAUAUCCCUCCCCAAAUUUUCUUUCUUUGGUUCGACUCUAAUUUCUGUAAAAAAUAAAAAUAAAAACAAAUUAAAAAAAUGAAAAUCAUGAAACAGAUCCAUUAGGAUAAUUAAAACAAUUUCUUAUUUAUUGCGACAAUGAAUUAGCUAGAAUUAAGACGAAGGCACAACUUUUUUUUUCCUUUUUUUUGACAAUACAUUUAUGUAAGAGUUUUUCUUUAUUUAUUGACAUCUUUGUGAGGAAGUUUAUGAACAAUAUAUAGCGUAUAACUGUGAAUACUUCGUUUCACUUUAGCCACAAUAUAUAAAAAUUAACUUUGAAAUUUCUUUGUUAACUUGAUUUUUUGGGUCUUGAAUUGUAGUUUUAUGGUAAAGUUGUAUGUUAGAAUUAGAUCAUGCACACACACGCACACGAAAAUAAAAAAUUGACACAGAGAUUUACUUAGUUUCCCAAUUUGGAUAGUCUACGGGAGCGGCGUUCUUUUAGUUAUUCACUGAGUUACUAAGGAUUUUACAAUAGAGAGUAUAUAUGACGACUAUUUAUAUUCCCAACUCUAAUUCACAUUAUAGCCUAAUACCCAUACUGUCCUUGUAACAUCGUACUCUCUUGUCAGCUCCGUUCGGCGCGCCCCGCGCCGCUUUUAGACUGUCACUGGCGUGCUCCGUGUGCUACUCAUAAGCCUAUACUGGCACAACCCGCGCUACCCAACAUUAACAUUGUAGGUUCUAACAUAUACACUUGCUACAAUUUUUAGAAAAUGUGCUUUAAAUUCGACCUGAUCAUCAACUUAGAGAAUAUAACCAACAAUUCAGGUUGUACUUGUCAUAUAAUAAUCAAAUAUAAAAUAUGUCCAACUGAACUAUUUUCUAUAUAGUAUACCCAAAUAGAAAUCAAAAGUAUGUUUAUGGAACUAUAAUUUAAUUGGGUGAUGUGGUUAUCACUCUUUCUAAAUUCCCGUAAUUUAUAGAACGUUAGAAAAAAAAGCACCAUAAUACUGUAAUGCUGUUAAGGCUAUGUUUGUUUGUAAGAAUUAUAUUUGGGAUAAGACUUUUAUUUCAAGUGUCUUGUUUAUUUUCAAAUUUAGACUUGUGACUAUUAGUUUAGAGAUUAUAAAAUGACUUAAAUAGUCUUAGAAUUAUAAUUAAUUAUAAUCCCAGAAUUAUAAUAAUAGGAUUAUAAUUCUUAUAAAUAAAUAUAACCCUAAAGUGUUGUGUUAAGCGUUAGCAUGAAGUUGUUUUGAAUCAGUGCUGGUAUACCUGAACUCAUGGACGGAUCAAGGAUUUGCUUAUGAUAUAUGGAUUUAAAAUUAUUAAUAGAAAAAAGAUAUAUAGAUAAAUAUUAUUUGUCAAAAAUAAUAUUUAUCUAUAUACCUAUCAUAUUUUAUACAUUCUAAUAGUUAAUCACUUAUAUCACUAAUUCUCUUUACCCAAAAUCCAAUACUCGAGGACAACGGUAUAUUAAGAACAAUACUCGAGCACAAGGGUAUAUUAAGAACAAUACUUAUAUCAACUCACAAUACUCGAGGACAAGGGUAUAUUAAGAACAAAUAUAUAGUCUGUCCUAAUUUUUUUCACAAUCUUCACUUGUGUGAAAAUUACACUUUUAUCAUCUUAAUAGUUUACUUUUACGAAUAAAUCUAGUUAAAAAAGGUUUCAAUUGGUCGGAGAAAGAGUUAAGUAAUUGUUAUUUGUUAUCAACUUUUUAGGGAUGGAGGGAGUAUAAUUUUAAAUUUAAUAGUUUACUUUUACGAAUAAUUCUAGUUAAAAAAGUUUUCAAUUAGUCGGAGAAAGAGUUAAUUAAUUGUUAUUUGUUAUUGUGGGCCCAAGUGUAAAAUUAAAGUUCACAUGACCUAAUUGAAUUAAAUGCUUAAUUAGGGUUCCACGGCCUCAUUAAAUGUGCAAAUUAGGGUUCGCAUAACCUAAGAAAAUGAAGACAAAAAAAUCAGAAAUAAAUGUGCUAGACCCAGGAGAAGCCUCCACGUGUCCCGAGGCAGAAGACUCGUGGAGGCGGCUCGAUUUGGGAAUUGAUUGAGGGAUUGGAUUGGUGGCUAGAAGGACAUGACAAUAUGGGCAUUAUUCUAAUGACUAAAGGGCAUUUCUGGAAUUUUCCUGAAAGCAUGUGCCUCGCACAUGACUACUUUCCAGAAAAUCCUAUAAAUACCCCUUCCAUUCCAUUGGGAAGGGACUUCUCUUCAGACUCAAGACUUGGACUCUUGGAAGAUCUAGGGACCCUUUUGGUGACUUAAAGGCUUGGAGAUUCCACCUAAAAGCACUAAAGGGGUUUGAAUAUUCUCUCAACUCGAAGGACUCAAGAAGGCUCUUGGAAUCCCUUCUACCGUAACACGGUUCCCGGAUUCUAGGGGUUCUGCCACGCGUUGUUGGAGUAAUCGCCCACCUGUCGUUCUCCCCUCUUCAAUCAACCAAUCAAUUCCGUGCUCUUCGUGGAUUUCUCUCCUCUUUAGCCAACACGAAACCCUAACUCUAGCAAGGUACGAUUUCCUUGCCCACAGUUAUCCUAUAUAUUAUAGUAAAAAAACAAAAAAAAAAAGAAACUGACCUGCAACAUCAUCUCUUCAUCACAAUUUCUUAUUUAUUGCAACAAUGAAUUAGCUAGAAUUAAGACGAAGGCACAACUUUUUUUUCCCUUUUUUUUGACAAUAAAUUUAUGUAAGAGUUUUUCUUUAUUUAUUGACAUCUUUGUGAGGAAGUUUAAGAACAAUAUAUAGUGUACAACUGCGAAUGCUUCGUUUCACUGUAACCACAAUAUAUAAAAAUUAACUUUGAAAUUUCUUUGUUAACUUGAUUUUUUGGGUGCUGAAUUGUAGUUUUAUGGUAAAGUUGUAUGUUAGAAUUAGAUCACACACACGCACGACAAUAAAGAAUUAACACAAAGAUUUACGUGGUUCUCCAAUUUGUGUAGUCCACGGGAGCGGCGUUCUUUUAGUUAUUCACUGAGUUACUUAGGAUUUUACAAUAGAGAGUAUAUAUGAUGACUAUUUCUAUUACAACCCUAAUUCACAUUAUAGCCUAAUACCCAUAAUGUCCUUGUAACACCGUACUCUCUUGUCAGCUCCGUCCGGCGCGCCCCGCGCCGCUUUUAGACUGUCACUGGCGUGCCCCGUGCUAGUGCUGCAGAAACAUUACCGAGCAUAACGCGCCCCGCACUUCUCAUAAGCCUAUACCGACACAGCCCACGCUAUCCAACAUUAACAUUGAAGGUUCUAACAUAUACACUUGCUACAAUUUUUAGAAAAUGUGCUUUAAGCUUUAAAUUCGACCUGAUCAUCAACUUAGAGAAUAUACCCAACAGUUCAGGUUGUACUAGUCAUAUAAUAAUCAAAUACUUUAUAAAAUAUGUCUAACUCAAUACAUUUAUGUAAGAGUUUUUCUUUAUUUAUUGACAUCUUUGUGAGGAAGUUUAAGAACAAUAUAUAGCGUACAACUGUGAAUACUUCGUUUCACUUUAACCACAAUAUAUAAAAAUUAACUUUGAAAUUCUUUGUUAACUUGAUUUUUUGGGUGCUGAAGUGUAGUUUUAUGGUAAAGUUGUAUGUUAGAAUUAGAUCACACAUACACACACAACAGUAAAGAAUUAACACAUAGAUUUAUGUGGUUCUCCAAUUUAGUUAAUCCACGGGAGCGGCUGAGUUACUUAGGAUUUUAUAAUAGAGAGAGUAUAUAUAACGAUUACUUCUAUUCCAACCCUAAUUCACAUUAUAACCUAAUAUCCAUAAUGCCCUUGUAACACCGUACUCUCUUGCCAGUUCCGUCCGGUGCACCCCGUGCCGCUUUUAGACUGUCACUAGUGCGCCCCGUACCAGUGCUGCAGAACCUUUACCGAGCAUAGCGCGCCCCGCACUACUCAUAAGCUUAUACUGGUGCGGCCCGCGCAACCCAACAUUGUAGGUUCUAACAUAUACACUUGCUAUAAUUUUUAGAAAAUGUGCUUUAAAUUCGACUUGAUCAUCACUUAGAAAGGGUUCAGGAUCCUCUCCAUUUUAAUUUGAAAUGGAGUCUCCAUUUAAAGGUUUAGAUUUAAAGUUAUUAGAUCUAAGAUCUAGAAGUUACCUCAUUUAAAAGUCACUAACUUAACUCUAACCACCUCAUUUAAAACUCACUAACCUAACUUGUAAGACCCCAACUUAUUAUGAAUAAAAUUAAAUUUUCUCUAUUUAUUAUCUUGAAAUAAUAAGGAGUUAAUUUGAUAUAAUACUUUGGUUAUGGGUGAAAUGUGCAAAUUUUACAAAAUAAGCAAGUGGUUAUAAAAUAUUCAUUUCUGUCGGGGAAUAUUCGUUUGGUCAUGGAAUAUUCUUUUUGUCGGAAAUAUCCGUACGACGGCGCAGUCAUUUGUGGGCCCCAUAAUAGAAUAACUGUCGGAUGAAGAAAAAAAAACAAAUUUGAGUUGUUGCAAAUAAUGGCGUAAUCGUUACCGUUAACACUGUUGGAAUAUCCGGUGGUUAAAAUACAGUAUGGCACAGUAGCACACGGUAUUGCACAGUAUUGUUGAGUUAUUGAUCUUUACGUAAGAAGGCACUACUCAAUAAUUGUUACAGUAGUUACUGUUUAAUAUUUUAUUUUAUUGAUUCAAUAAUUGCUGCAUUGAUANNNNNNNNNNNNNNNNNNNNNNNNNNNNNNNNNNNNNNNNNNNNNNNNNNNNNNNNNNNNNNNNNNNNNNNNNNNNNNNNNNNNNNNNNNNNNNNNNNNNNNNNNNNNNNNNNNNNNNNNNNNNNNNNNNNNNNNNNNNNNNNNNNNNNNNNNNNNNNNNNNNNNNNNNNNNNNNNNNNNNNNNNNNNNNNNNNNNNNNNNNNNNNNNNNNNNNNNNNNNNNNNNNNNNNNNNNNNNNNNNNNNNNNNNNNNNNNNNNNNNNNNNNNNNNNNNNNNNNNNNNNNNNNNNNNNNNNNNNNNNNNNNNNNNNNNNNNNNNNNNNNNNNNNNNNNNNNNNNNNNNNNNNNNNNNNNNNNNNNNNNNNNNNNNNNNNNNNNNNNNNNNNNNNNNNNNNNNNNNNNNNNNNNNNNNNNNNNNNNNNNUUAUAAAUAAUUUUGGUGAAAAAUUCUAGAAUUGAAUGGGCCCCACUUAUGGUUGGUGAAGAAAUGUGCUGAAUUUUAUUUCAAAUGUGGUGGGUGGCAAUAGUAGCAGGUAAAGCCAUCAGGUAGCAGGUCAAGUCUGCUUCGGCGUGCUAACAUUUUCCUAUAAAUAGAGGGCUAAGUUAGAAUUGAAAAUCACACCAGAAACAUAAGCUUUCUCUCUUUCUCUCUCUAUAUUAUCGAGCGUAUUUUGUGAGUAUUUAGAUACUUUGAGAGUUGCUGUUCAGUACAAGUUUCAUUCAGCAUCACUUCCGACCUUUCAUUCCGAAGUACUGUUUCUUUGAGGUAAGGGAUGUUAUUUUCUUCAUAUAUGAUAUUAUUUCUUUCAAUAUUAUUAUGCCGAAGUAUUGAUUUGAACUUUUAAUCAAAUUUGGAACUUGUUGUGUCGGGGUUACUAUUCACGUAUACGACACUAUUCAUAAAUACAACAUUAUUCACCGAAAAAUAAAAUUUUCUCUUUUUCUUCCAGAUGUCUUUUAUGGUUACUAUCUUUGAUUGUAUCCAUGUUUUGAACUUUAUUUUUGAAUUCUACUUCACACCUGGUUAUUAUGGAGUAUUAUUGAAUUUGGAUAAACCGAAAUAUGAAUCCCUAAUAUUUGUCCUUUUGUCUCACUGGAUUCGUUUUCUAAAAUGUUUUUCAUCAUCCUCAGUCCUUAAUGGUGUUACUUGAUGAAUAUCUUUGGCAUGUAGUGCAAAGAUGAAUGAUUACCUGAUGAAUAUCUUUGGCCCGUAGUGCAAAGAUGAACAGGUGUUGAGAUGAACAUGACCAACUGGUGAUACAAAUGAAUAUCUUUGGCCCGUAGUGCAAAGAUGUAUAUUGAUUGAUGUUACAGGGAUAAAAUAUUGAUGAUGGACUUUUAAAUUCAUAAAUGAUAGUAUAUUUCAUUCUCUACUUAACUCUUCUAGUGAAUUGAUGUUUCCGCUGCAGUUGUUGAUCUAAAACUUGUUGUCUAUUGUAUUCUAUCAGAUUUUUGCCUGUUGAAGACUAAGGAUAAUUUGUUGUAUAUUAUCUUAGUCAUAAUGUUCUUUACUGGGUUAGUUAAGCUCACCCUUUUCCUUUUUGUUCCAUUUUUCUUCUCAGAAGGUGAGAAUUUAGCAGGGACUAGCCGGGGUACGGAGUGAUGACUCAAGAUAGCUGUUUUAGUAGUCCUCACUAUUUUGUAAAAUAGUACAUCAAUAAUUGUAAUGAGGACUUUAUUUGGGUGUGGAUAUUGUCUAGAAGACAAUAUUGUAUUUAAAUUUACAGUAUGUGUUGUCGUAUUUUACACGACAAUUGUAUUAAUAAAGUUGUAGUUGUUUUUCUGUACCAUGUAUUUGGCGACUCAGAAUGGGUGAUGUAUACCUAUUUUGGGGGCGUCACAUAACUCUAGUCAUUUCAUGAUUUAAAAGCCACCAACCUUAACUCUAGACAUUAAUUUAAUAUAAGGCUAUAUUAUUAUUAUUAUUAUUAUUAUUAUUAUUAUUAUUAUUAUUAUUAUUAUGAGCAUUUUGUUAUGUCUCUCAUUGGUUUUUUAAUAAUAAUUAUUUAAUAAUAAUAAUAAUAAAAUUAUAAUUUGUUAAACAAUUUUAUAAUAAUAAUAAUAAUAAAUUAUUAUUAUUAUAAUAAUAAUAUAUUAGUGUUAUAUUAAAAUAAAUAAUAAUAAUAUUUUAACAAUAAUAAUAAUUUGUUAAACAAUUUUAUUAUUAUAAUAAUAAAAUUAUUAUUAUUAUUAUUAUUAAUUAAUAAUAAUAAAAUAAUUAUUAAAAAAACCAAUGAGGGACAUAUUAUAAUAAUAAUAAUAAUGUUAUAGUAAAUUAAUGGCUAAAGUUAGGUUAGUGACUUUUAAAUGAAGUGACUAGAGUUAGGUUAGUGGGUUUUAAAUGAGGUGGUUAGAAGUUAUUGACUUCUAAAUAAGGUGACAACUUUUAAAUUUUAGAUCUAAUAACUUUAAAUCUAGACUUUUAAAUGGAAACUCUCCAUUUCAAAUUGAAAUGGAGAGGAUCAUGAUCUCUUAGAGAGUAUACCAAACAAUUCAGGUUGUACUAGUCAUAUAAUAAUCAAAUAUAAAAUAUGUCCAACUGAACUAUUUUCUAUAUAGUAUACCCAAAUAGAAGUCAAAAGUAUGUUUAUGGAACUAUAAUUUAAUUGGGUGAUGUGUUUAUCACUCUUUCUAAAUUCCCGUAAUUUAUAGAACGUUAGAAAACCAAAAGCACCAUAAUACUGUAAUAUUGUUAAAGCCAUAUUUGUUUGUAAAGAUUAUACUUGGGAUAAGACUAUUAAUUUCAAGUAUCUUGUUUAUUUUCAAAUUUAGACUUGUGACUAUUAGUCUAGGGAUUAUAAAAUGACUUAAUAAUCUUAAAAUUAUAAUUAAUUAUAAUCCUGAGAUUAUAAUACUAGGAUUAAUAGUCUUGAGAUUAUAAUCUCAUGGAUUAUAAUCAUUGCAAACAAAUAUAGCCCUAAAGUAUUGUGUUAAGCGUUAGCAUGAAGUUGUUUUGGAUCGGUGCUGGUAUACCUGGUAUACCUGAACUCAUGGACGGAUCAAGGAUUUGCGUAUGAUAUAUGGAUUUAAAAUUAUUAAUAGAAAAAAGAUAUAUAGAUAAAUAUUAUUUGUCAAAAAUAAUAUUUAUCUAUAUACCUAUCAUAUUUUACAUAUCCUAAUAGUCAAUCAGUUAUAUCACUAAUUCUCUCUACCCAAAAUCCAAUUAAAUAAAUUAACUUAUACAAAUACUCCUAUAACUCAUCACAAUACUCGAGGGAGGGAGUAUUAAGAACAAUUAUAUAGUCUGUCCUAAUUUUUUUCACAAUCUUAACUUGUGUGAAAAUUACACUUUUAUCAUUUUUUGGCGACGGAGGGAGUAUUAUUUUAAAUUUAAUAGUUUACUUUUACGAAUAAAUCUAGUUAAAAAAGUUUUCAAUUAGUCGGAGAAAGAGUUAAUUUAAUUGUUAUUUGUUAUUUGUUUACUUUUACGAAUAAAUCAAUUGUUAUUUAUUAAUUUUUUGUACGAAAAAAGAAACUGACCUGCAGCAUCAUCUCUUCUGGGAAAUGCUUUCUGGAGAAGUAGCUUCCAACCUUCGUCGUUACUUAGAGGACGAAGCUUGUACGGAAAUCCAAUGUUUGCCACUGCUUCGUUACGAGUUGUAAACAAUAUUUUACUACCACUUGUCUCUUCAACCGGAAAGGCUUGUUUUAGCAUUUUCCAAUCGUCUAGGGACCAAAUGUCAUCAAUCACGACCAGACACUUAAACUCUUUUUGGGUUUUGUAGAGCAGUUCAACCAAUUUUGCAUCUCCCAUUUCCCUGAUCUCACCCUCGCUCUUCGUAGGGAUAAGUUUUUGAAGGAUAUCUUGCAAGACAUUUUGUCUUUCCAAUUUUUGGGUGAUGCAAACCCAUGCAAAGGCUUCAAAAUAGGAUCGAACAUCUGUGUGAUUGUAUAAUUUUUUAGCAAGAGUAGUCUUUCCUUGCCCGCCCAUCCCCCAUACGGAAACAACUUCAUAGCCUCUGUCUUUGUUUUUCAAAUGUAAAACCAAUUCUUUUGUUUCCUCCUCCAUUCCAACAAGAUCCCUUUCAAUUGAAUGGGCAUAAGUGAUCCUUAAUUGUUGUCUUCUCUCCUCUUCAGCUUUUGAGCUUUCUACUCGAUGAUCAUCCAAUGCUUGUAUACCCAAAGUUGGUCGACUUGCAGCGAGAUUUGUGAUCUUAGCUUGAAUACUCCCAAUUUCCAAACCAAUCUUAUAAAGUGUUACACAAGCAAAUCUUCUCAUAAUUUUCUUGAUGUGCCCUUCUCCUCUCCUUGAUGCAACUUUUACUGCAUGCGUUUCGAGGACAUCUUCCGUUUGUAGAGCAAGUUCUCUAAUCUCAGCUACCCAUUUGCCAAUGUCUUGGUUUCCUCUUUUAUUGUCUGCAUCUUCUAAGAAAUUCUGCAUCUCCUUUAGCAGACUUUGAAUUUCUAAGACUUUAUCCUUCACUCCAUAUAAGAAUUUAGCUUCAGAGAUCAACAAAUCUCCAAGCCUUUCAACAGCAAAAGAGACGACAGCCUCUGCCAUUGAUAUAUCUUGAAACAAGUAGGUAGCUAGGUAGAUAGAUAGAUAAAAUUAAGACCUAAGGGUAGAAGAAGGAGUUUAAAUACAGCCAACCUGCACCUUAAAUUUCAAUUAAGUCAUGCUGCAUUAUUAAAUACAGCCAACUUACAAUUUAGUUUCAAUUAUUAAUUGCCACCACACAUGAUUAGACGGCCAACUCGGAAUUAAUUAAGUUUCAAUUAGCCAACUUGCAACAUGAUUAGCGAGUGAUGCUGCAUUAUUAAUUUCACCCAACUUGCAAUUAAGUUUCAAUUAUUAAUUGCCACCACACAUGAUUAGCUAGUCAUGCUGCAUUAUUAAUUACAGCCAACUUGGAAUUAAUUAAGUUUCAAUUAAGUCUGCUUUCCAGCGAAUCAUACUGCAUUAUUAUAUCCCUUAAUAUAAGUUAUUUUAGAGAAGUAUUUUUAUCUCUUAAUAAUUGUCGUUUGAAAAUUUCAAGUAAACAUUACUCCCUCCGUCCCUAAUUAUUUGACGUUUUAGAGAUGGACACAAGAAUUAAGAUAAUGAUCGGAAAACAUUAAAUAUAGUACUCAAUUGUAUAUAAUACCUUUAAAUUUUUUGUUGAGAUAAUGAGAGUUUUGUUGGGAUAAGGAGAGAGAAAGAGUUUAAUGAGGGGUAAUUUUGGAAAAAUUAUCAUUAAUUCUCCUAGAUUUGAACAAACGUCAAAUAAUUAGGGACAAAUGAAAAACUUUAAAACGUCAAAUAAUUAGGAACGGAGGGAGUAAUUGCUUAGUUUCCAAUAUUAACCCAAAUAUUAAAUUUUAAAUAUAACUUAGAUUCACUCAUUAUUUUUUGCCCAAUAAAUAACAUUCUUUUUUCAAUAUAAGGACAAUAUUGACCAUUGAUAUUAUAUUUAAUGUUACCCCCUUUGUUCCAUAAUAUAUGACAUUUUAAAGUUGUGCACAAGAAUUAAGGAAAUGAUUGUAUAACAUUAAAUAUAAUAUAAAUUGCAUAUAAUACCCUUAAAUUCUCAUAAUUAUCAUAUUUAUCUCAUACUCUCUUUCUCUUUUAUCUGUAACCUUUUUCCAUGAGGGAUAAUUUAAAAAAAAAUUAUAAUUAAUUCUUUUAUAUUAUAUAAAACAACAAAUAAUUUGUGAAAAAUAAAAUCAUCUAAAACGUCAUAUUAUGAGACAGAGGAAGUAUAUAAUUAUUUUUUUAAUACUUGUGUACAGCUCUAAAAUGAUUUAUAUUAAGGGACGAAGAGAGUACUACUUUCCAACUACCAAUCAGGUUUUGUGGAAAAGGAAGAAGGAAAACAAAAAGUUUUCAAGUGUAAAAUGCCCCCAAACGUAUUGCUAAAAUAAAAGAACAAAUUAAUUUCUUUCCGAGUAAGAUUCCCUCCAUUACAUAUAUCCCCAAAUUUUUUAAAUACAUAUUUAAUAACAUAAAUAUUACUUUUAACAACGAAAACAAAUUCAUUGCAAACAAUUAGCGAUAAAUUAAAAUCUGUCACAAACAAUUGUUUCUUUGAAAAUAUCACUAAAAAUAAUAUUGAGUAAAAUACACUCACACCCCCUGUAGAUAAUCAUAUUAACACUCACUACUCCUCUAGUUUUUUAAAUAACACUCACUACCCCUCUAGUUAACAUAAUAUAACACUCACUACCCCUAAUAUGAUUGACUUGAUGAUGUCAGCAAUUUUUAAAAAGAAAAUGGCUAAAAUGUCCUUAACUACUGUAAGGACAAUUAUACCUUCAAUUUCUGAUGACUAAUAUACCCUUUAAGUAUAUAGUAUACCUUCAAUUUAUGUUAUCUCACAUGAUUUUCUUCAUUUUGUUAAUUUGUUGUUGGUUCUAGUGUAAUUAAAUGUAUAAACUAACAACAAAUCUCGACAUAAUUCCUUAAGUUGCAUACUAAUCAUACUCCCUCUGUUCCAUUAUAAAACAGGCCUCAUUUACAAAAUUUACAAAUUUUUAAGGAUAUAUUUUUGUUCUAUCUUUUAUUGAGUAUUUAAUUUAAUAGUGAUGCCAUGAUAAUAAAUUUGAGAUAAUAAACCUGAGGACAUCAAAAUAAAUGGGAAUUUUAUUUUUUCUCCAAAUCAUAAUUUGCAAAUAGGACUUUUUACGUUUUUGGGACAUAGGGAGUAGUAAUUUGUUGCCAUUACAAAAUGGCUUACUGCAGUUCUAUAAGCUACAAUCAUGUAUAUUAACAAGGCAUUAUUAUAGUUUGGUAAUUGCCUUUUUCUUUUCCAGAAUAUGACCAUGUCGACCUCAGACUGUUACUGCACAAGGUAAACACCAGGACCAGAAUUGAUAAAUAAAUAAAUAAAUAAAAUUUCUAACAAAAGUGCAUAAAAGAGUAGCAACAAACAUAGUUUUUUCUAGUCCCAACAUGUGACCAAAAGUACCACCAAUUAUUAAAUUCUAAAAUUCCUAAUAGUAGUCAUAAGUUACCACCAAUUUGAUUCCAAAUAGGAAAUUGAACAUAUGCAACUUCAGUGUGAUUCCCAACAGUAUGUGAUUGUGUUUGAUUCACAAUAGAAGCUUGAUUCUCAGCAGUUUGAUUCACAAUAGAAGUUUGAUUCUUAGCAGCUUGAUUCCCACCACUUCUUUUUCUUUCAACAACUAAACCACUUUUGCUACCAAUAGAGUGAAUUGUCCUUUUAUUGAUUUGGUUCAGAGGUGUAAUAUCAACCCAAUGAGCUCCAUCUGUUCGUCCAACAAAAUAUUAUUGUCAAACUUUAAACAACAUAGAAAAUAUUCUUUCAUUAACAAUAUAAAUGUUUUAUUUAAAAUUAAUUACAUGUAAAAUAUCUCACCUUCGAAACUGGAUUACCAUUAUUUGUAGGAUAAACAAGCCCACCAUCUCUUUUAGAUCUUGUCAUGACAACCUUUCCCGUUCCUUGAAAUCGAUUUCCUUUCUCUUUACCCGAAUUGUUUGUUCCCACAUUAGUUGAUAAAAUUUGUUGACAUCUUCCCAAACCUCUUCCUUUCCUUUUCUUCCUAACAUUCCCUCUUCUAGCAAGUGGUUCCGAUUGAUCUUCACCAAGUUGUUGUGUUUGACCUUCACCAACCUAUAAUAAAAGAACAGACAAGUUAUUAGAAUCAUAAAAUAUAAUGUAAAAUAAGUAAAUUGUAACAAGCAAAUAUUAUUAAAAAUAUAUAUAUUAUAUUACCUCUUGAGUUACACCAUCGAGAGUAACCCCAUUCCCAGUUAACUCAGGUGGAUCUCUUUGGCAGGUCAAUCUAUUAUGACCAAACUGUUUGUAGUUAGAGCAUUGGACACUUAGAGCUCUUUUUACAAAAUUAUUCUCUGCAUUAACUUCACCUGGAUCUUUUCUUCUAUUUUUUCUCGGUCUCCCAGGCACCCUAUGAAGAGGUGGGGGGUCCAAUGGAUCACUUCCAUCUUCUAUGUAUUUUCACAAUCUUUGAUCUUUGGUAGGGUGAAUCAUUUUUUCAUGAGCAACUAAGUAUGCAUGAUUUGUAAAAUAUGCAUCACAAUAUUGUUCAACAUUGGCUCUCCUAGAUGCAAUAGCAACAACCCCAUGUUUACAAGGAAUGCCUGAAACCUGCCAUGCUCUACAAUCACAAACUCUUAGUCCAAUGUCAACCAAAAAUGUGAAUCCAUCUUCAACGAUUUUGAAUUUAUUCCCUCCACCAUAGAUCACUCUGUAAAUUCUAGCUUUACUAAGAUUGAAGUUUAAUUUCUUUCUAAUAUUCGGAGUAACAUAUCCAUCCCAAGCACACCCAUUUUCAUACCUCAUUUGAAUUCUUUGCAUCAACUUACAGCUAAUCCCUUCAAGCAUUUUCAAAAUGGGUCUACCCCUCAUGGCAUCAACCCAAUGGUUAAGACUCACAAAAAUUGCUUGUGACAUGAUUACUUUUACAUCUCUCAUCAAAGUCAUAUCUUGUCCAUGUUUCAAGAGGCUCUUUCAUCAAAUAAUUGUAUGCAAAUUGAGACUCUUUCUUAAUAUCCUCCAUUGCUAGGUUGAAGUCGUGUUCAUUAUAAGCUUUAACUGCCCUCUAAAAGUGAUUUUUUAACAUCAAGGCUGGAUACAUUUUUCUAAAAUUACAAAACAAAUGCCUAGCACAUGUCUUAUGAAGUGCAUGUGGAAAUUCCUCAUUAAGUGCAUAUUUAAGACCUUGAAAGAAUAUAAACAAAAAUUAUCAUCAAUUUUUCAUCAUUGAGCAUAAACUAAUUAUAAUUAAAAAAAACAGAAUUUUCAAUAAUACCUUCUGCUUGUCUGAAAUGAAUGUUAAUGUCAUCAUGCCAUCAUCAUCUGCACCAAGAGCUAUCCUUAAAUUACUAAAAAAGAACUUCCAGCUUUGUUUGCACUCAGUUUCCACCACAUCAAUUGCCACUGGAAAGAGUCCAUUAUUCCCAUCUAGAGCUACUACAGCCAACAAAACACCACCAUAAGACCCUUUUAGGUGGCAUCCAUCAACACCUAUAAAAGGUCUACAUGCAUUUUUGAAUCCAGAAGUCAAUGCCUCAUAUGCUAUAAACAUUCUCUUAAAUGUGGGAUUCACAUCAAUUGAUAACCUAUCAGUGUUAAUAUCCACAAUACUUCCAGGAUUUGUACUUAGAAUUUGUUGACCAUACUGCCUCAAACUUUUAUAAGACUCUGCAUGACAACCAUCAAGUUCAGCAAGUGCCUUUUUUUUUGGCCCUGUAUAACUGCAUUUUAUUGCACUCAAUCUGCCAUUUCUUAUGCACUUUGGUCUGAAUUUCAUUUAUCUUCAUGUCAGGAUUGUCCCUCAAUGUAUCACCUAAUUUGUUUGCAAUCCAAGUCGAUGUUGCUUCAGUGUUAGUGGAAACAACAAUACAAGUGUGCGUGCCACAAUAUGUCUUGAUUUUAUAAGUCAUCUUAUCAGGAAGAGGGGAUGCAUGUAUUCGCCAUGGACAACCAACUGCAGCACAUUUACACGUAACUCUUUUUUUUUUCUCAUUUUUAAUCCUCUCAAUCUUGAAACCCUCUUGAAUUGUAUAAUCUCUUAACACCUGUCUGAAACUGUGUACAUUUGAAAACAAAAGGCCUUCGCGUAGCUUGAUCUUCUCUUUCCUAACAUCUACAAAUUUAUUUCCAUAUCUAUAGUGGUCAAACACCUUACCAAAUUGUCCACAAUCAACUUGUCUCCCCACUACAGUUUGACCAUCUUCAACAAAUUGAUUAUCAUCAUCAUCAUCAUCAUCUUCAUCAUAAUACACUCUAUUGCAUUCAUCACUUGAUGAGUAAUCUGAUAGGCCAUCAUUAUUAGUCAUCACUUCAUUUACAAGUUUUUCAUCCACAAAUUCAUUAUUGUCUAUUUCAAAAUCACUAGCAUGUUCUUCAUUAGCACAUUGAAAAUCCUCAUCCUCGGAAGACAAGCCAUAAACACCAUCAUCCUCAUAACCACCCUCUACAAUUAUUUGUUUGCCUUUUCUAUUUUUGUAACUCUUAGCUACAACCUCAUCGUGAUGUUUUUCAGUAGUUUCAGACUCAUGUACUGUUUCAGCCCAUAAUCGAUGGUUGUUAGUCGCCUCAUCAACCCUCUUUAUAUUAUCUUGUAUCUUUCCAUCAUUGUAAAUACCCUCAUCAACCUCAUUUACAUUUUUUGAUCCAACUCCAUCUUUACCAACACUAUAAUCAACCCCAUUAACAAUCUGAUCAUCAUUCCACUCCUUAAAUGGAUCAAUUACUUGUAUAUAGAUAUCAACAAUUUUAAUCCCCUUAUACAUUUCAAACAUAAGUAACAUGUUCUCAUCAUUGUUUAAUGGCAUCUCGACUUGUGUUCCAGGCAUAAAAUAAAAUAGUUUGAUUUCUAAACCCAUUGCAGUUGGUACUUGACUCAAUGACAAUUCGGAAACCUCGUUGAGCAUAUCCAUAUAGCAGUAUACAUUUCCAUCAAUAUUUAAAAACACAUUCACUGUUUUCCCAUAGUGAACAUGAAUAUCAUAAUAUUCAGCCAUUCCUGUUAACUGAACAAAAAUAAAAUCAUAAUUCACAAAAGUAUGUAAUGAAUAUUUACAAAUUAUGCAAAUAAAAUUUAUUUUUUUGGAACUGAGAGAGUAUAUAUAUAUAUAUAUAUAUAGAGAGAGAGAGAGAGAGAGAGAGAGAGAGGAAGAACCAAAAUAUUGAAACCACAUAACAUAUGUACACAUACAUAUAUAUAGAUGUGAUUAUCUAUGUGGAUACAAAUAAUUAAUUUUCAUGAGAGUGAGUAAUUGAGAGAGAUCAGUGCUCUUGUGGGGUUUCAUCAAGUGUGAAACAAGGUUGAUUUCAUAAUCUAGGGUUUAGAAUUGAGCGAAUCGAGUGGUAACAAGCAUUUAUAGAGACGACAAUGGGGAAAAGCAUGUAUACCUUAAACCCAAAAAAUCUUGAUCGUAGCCGGAUAAGUUAAUCUCCGAUCAUCUCCUUCACGUCAAAAAUUUUCCCUCCCACCUUCCCCUGUAUGACAACAGUGAGUCGGUGACUAGUGCUUUAAGAGUGGAGAAUAUAACUUGAUAAUACAAGUCAAAAUAGGGUACUUUUGUCAUUAACAAAAUAAGUAUAAAUUUAUUAUAUUAUAAAAUAGUAAAACAUGAGGAUAAAUACGUAACUUCGCCUAUUUGGUCAAUAAUACACAUCUGCAGGGGUGGUGAGUGUUAUUUGAAAAACUAGAGGGGUAGUGAGUGUUAUUAUAGUAAUCUACAGGGGAUGUGAGUGUAUUUUACUCAAUAAUAUUUAUAAAAAAGUGAAUCAAUUUUUGUUUUUUUAAAAAAAACACAAAUUAAAGAUCUUUAUCUCUCAGAUAAGAAUUUAACUUCAAAGAUCAACAAAUCUCUUCAACAACAAAAAAGAUGAUAACCUCUAACAUUGAUAUAUCUUGAUACAAACUUGCACUACUCCGACGGGUAAGGCGAUGAUAUACUUGAAGAAAACUUACACUACGCUCAAAACUUCUUAAAACUCUAAAGAAAUACGCUCAAGAUUAUAGAAGAGAAUUCUCUGAAUUUUUGGUGUGAUUUUAAUUCUAACUAAGCAUCCUAUUUAUAGGAAAAUAGAAAGGAUACUAUGCAAUAAAAUAUAAUAUAUAUAUAUAUAUUAUUUAAAAUCUAAUAAUACAAUUAACUUUAUAAAAGUAUUCUAUUUUAUAUAAAAAGAUUUUACUAUGCAAACACUAUGCAUAAUAAAAUAUAUUAUAUUCUAAUUAUUGUCUAAUAAAACAAUAACUUUAUAAAAGUAUUCUGUUUUAUAUAAAAAGAUUUUACUAUGCAAAACACUAUGUAUAAUAAAAUAUAUUAUAUUCUAAUUAUUGUAUAAUAAAACAAAUAACNNNNNNNNNNNNNNNNNNNNNNNNNNNNNNNNNNNNNNNNNNNNNNNNNNNNNNNNNNNNNNNNNNNNNNNNNNNNNNNNNNNNNNNNNNNNNNNNNNNNCGUUCGCGUCACACCUGAAAGCAUUAAAAUUCUGUAACAACUCCAACUCCUUGAGGCCAUCAAAUCUCAAUUUCUUAUUUACGUGCCUAAUAAAGGAGGGAAGAUAAAGAUGCUUCAAAUGUUUUAUCUUCCAUAACACAUCUGGUAUGAUAACACCACCACCUGAAUCAAAUACCCUUAAAUCAAGUGUUUCCAAGUAUCUCAAGUCCCCUAUACAUGAUGGCAACUCCUCCAAGUGACAAUAUUUUGAACUCAAAUAUCUUAGGUGGAUCAGUUCACCUAUUUCUUGAUGUAACUUUCCCUCACUGAACUUAAAUCUGUCGAGUUUCAAAAUUCUAAUAGUAGGUACAACUCGUCAACCUCUAUCUCCACAUCCUCCUUAAAAGUUCCCAGAUAAAGGAAUAGUUGUUUCAAACGAAAAGGUAGAUCAUCAUAGCUUAAACCUAAAAUAUGCAUUACCCCACCAUCUCCUUCUCUACUUAAGUUUGAAGCAAUAUCUUUCUGCACCAUCUCCCAUUCCCUUAAUGAAUUUUUGUUCUUCAAAAGCCCUCCAAGGGCUGAGAUGGCUAAAGGUAGACCUUGACAUUGUUGAACCAUAUCCCUCCCCAAAUUUUCUUUCUUUGGUUCGACUCUAAUUUCUGUAACAAAAUAAAUAAAAACAAA